Panicum virgatum (switchgrass) is the source of this 826-nucleotide long non-coding RNA. RefSeq lists it as uncharacterized. NCBI's taxonomy places the organism in Eukaryota, Viridiplantae, Streptophyta, Magnoliopsida, Poales, Poaceae. The transcript has 2 exons. The record is from RefSeq and is a predicted model, not a curated record.
GAGUGGAACAAAGAAUUGCAUUCAGACAAUGACUUGUUUGAGUGGUCUCUUGCGGGUUGUCUUGUACAGGGUGAGCGGAAUUAUCAGCACCCACAAAGCUACCUGCAAGUAGUACAGGAAUUAUUGCCGCAUUUCCACCGAGGAAAGACACAGGAAGGAACGACGACCUGUGUGUGUGUGGGAUUUAUAGGGUGUGCCCACGGCUAGGUUGGUUUUCGCAAUGCAACAUGAGAGAAUGGCUACCGCCGCCGCAUGCUGGAGCAAGCUUGCGCGUUCUUGGAGCAUCAUCGUCUUGUUGGUGGCGGUGGCAUUGGCCAUGGCGCCGAUCGCCCAUCAAAGCGAUGACCAUUCGACAAACAUGACAGAUCAAAAGGCCUGAUUAUCAGUAUCCUAUCCCGCCUAGUGGCAGGCCUGGUGGCGGUGGUUCUCGUUCCCCUCAUGGUCGUGGUGGCGGUGGUUCUCAUUCCCCUAAUGGUCCUCCUUGCACAUCAUGUCCAUAUCCUGGUGCUUGUCCAUGGUGUCAUGUUAGAUGAAUGCUUCAGUGGCUGAAUCUGGAGCCAGCCAAAGUCAAUGUAGAAUCAAACACAUGUUCCUAAAUAUCGAGGAUUAGCCGACUCAGUCUCUCAGAAAUGCUUAUAGAGACAGGGUUGCAUGUGUGUAUUCAUGGUCUAUCCCAUAUGUGAGUUGGGCUAGCCCUCCGUCCACGACUCGAGCACGUCCCUACAAAAUUAACGGACAAGUAUAUGUAUCUAAUGCUUAUUCCGACGUUGUCUUUUGCAAGUCACGGGCAUAAUAGUCUAGUCUAAAAAAAUGAGCAAUUUUCUUA